This 253-nucleotide ribosomal RNA is filed under the name uncultured bacterium. RNAcentral describes it as "partial 16S ribosomal RNA". It matches the Rfam family "Bacterial small subunit ribosomal RNA", at positions 524 to 776 of the family's 1533-position model. The record is from RNAcentral.
UACGGAGGGUGCAAACGUUGCUCGGAAUCAUUGGGCGUAAAGCGCACGUAGGCGGACCGCUAAGUCGGAUGUGAAAGCCCUCGGCUUAACCGAGGAAGUGCACUCGAAACUGACGGUCUUGAGUAUGGAAGAGGAGAGUGGAAUUCCCGGUGUAGCGGUGAAAUGCGCAGAUAUCGGGAAGAACACCCGUGGCUAAGGCGGCUCUCUAGUACGGUACUGACGCUGAGACGCGAAAGCGUGGGGAGCGAACAGG